Molecule: ribosomal RNA, 468 nt
Filed under: uncultured bacterium
Lineage: Bacteria
Description: partial 16S ribosomal RNA
Rfam family: Bacterial small subunit ribosomal RNA
Source: RNAcentral
GACGAACGCUGGCGGCGUGCUUAACACAUGCAAGUCGAACGGAAAGGCCCUGCUUUUGUGGGGUGCUCGGGUGGCGAACGGGUGAGUAACACGUGAGUAACCUGCCCUUGACUUUGGGAUAACUUCAGGAAACUGGGGCUAAUACCGGAUAGGAGCUCCUGCUGCAUGGUGGGGGUUGGAAAGUUUCGGCGGUUGGGGAUGGACUCGCGGCUUAUCAGCUUGUUGGUGGGGUAGUGGCUUACCAAGGCUUUGACGGGUAGCCGGCCUGAGAGGGUGACCGGCCACAUGGGGACUGAGAUACGGCCCAGACUCCUACGGGAGGCAGAAGUGGGGAAUAUUGCACAAUGGGCGGAAGCCUGAUGCAGCAACGCCGCGUGCGGGAUGACGGCCUUCGGGUUGUAAACCGCUGUCGCCUGUGACGAAGCGUGAGUGACGGUAAUGGGUAAGGAAGCACCGGCUAACUACGUG